CGCAGCUCCAGCUCCAGCUCCUCCUGAGGCCGCUCCUGCUGCAGUUGCCGGCGGAACUCCUCCAGCAGCUGCUCCACGCCCGACAGCUGCGCGUGCAGUUCGGACAGCGGCGCCGCGGGCGGCAAGGCCGCACGGCCGCUCGGCAGCCACAGGCAGAGCAGUAGCAGCCCGCGCAGCGCCCCGUGACGCGGCGGUAGCCGGCGCUGCGAGCCCGCGCUCUCCCGGGCGACGGAGGCCAUGGCGACGAGAGCCAAGGUCAGCGAGCCGAGGCGGGGCUGAGCGCGGGAGGAAGGCGGGGACGCGGGCGCGGGCGAGCGCGGGCCCUGGGCCCCUCCUGCGCGGCCGCGGCUGGCUCUAGGCCCCGGCCUCACAGCGCGGCGCCCCCGAACCCGGCUGCUCCCCCGAGGUCGCGGGCGCCGGCGGGAACCGCAGUAGCGGGAGACAUAGCCGGCCCAGCCGGGCACCGCUCCUUGCCCUCGCCGGAGACUGCCCAGCGCCCUGCGCCUCUCCGCCCCGGCCUGCGGCGCGCUGGGUGGCGGCGAGUCGGCCUCGGCGCUGAUCAGCACCAGGAUGAACCGUUGUCCACAUUCUCUUCUCUGAGUCAAAGAGGAGGAAGAUCUGUCCAUCGAAACUGAACUGCCAAGAUCCGCUGCUGUGUCCUUCGGCUUUCUGCUCACAAGACAUCCUUGCCUGCAGGGUGAGGGGUUCUGCCCCCAUCAGAGAGAGAUCAGCUCUGGCCUUGACAGAUAUUGAGCCCCCAUCCUCUUCCACUUGCAAUUUCCUGGUCUUACUUGCUCUGCCACAUCCUGGCCUUGCCUCUAGACGUCUUGCGGGGUUGCCAUUGCCUGCUGUUGCUCUACAAAGGGACAGGACUGGACACUGAGACGGAGAACCCACGGCCUGCAAAGAUCACAGGGCAUCCUUCC
Molecule: long non-coding RNA, 926 nt
Filed under: Pan troglodytes (chimpanzee)
Lineage: Eukaryota; Metazoa; Chordata; Mammalia; Primates; Hominidae
Description: long non-coding RNA NONPTRT014851
Source: RNAcentral